GCGGAAUGGUUCUCGGCUUCCAUAUUUUCUUGUUUCUUUCUUCUUCUUUUUUGCAGAUAGAUGUUCAGGUUUAGGGGAUGGGUUUUAUGGAUGUGGGUUUCUUUUUAUUCGGUUGGUGAUAGGUUGCUGAGGUUUAGAUCGAGGUUUUAAUUGGCACUUGCAGGGCUUGAGCUAUUGCCUUUUUUUUUUUUGAAAUUUUGACUACCGUGUUGAUUCCUCAGGCUGUUGCCUUGUGUGUUUGGUGUAUCUCAGUUCAAGUCAUGUACUCUGGAUUGGUUUUUGUUGGAGAUUUAUUAUAUUUCCUGGAAUAUUUCGCUUUAUUUUCUUUUAGUUUAAUGCGUUUAAGCUUUUCUCUUUUUUUUUGAGAUAGUUUCCUUUAAUUAUAAAAUUGGAUCUUCUCAAUAUGGUUCGUAAGAGAUUACGUUCUCAAAAUGUCCUUUUUGGUGGAUGGUUUAAUGUAUUUUGCAAUAAUUUGCACCGUCUUUGUCCUGGAUCAUUUAGAUGUUUCAUAGAGGUUGUACGUCCUGACUCCUGAGUUGAUUGGUGAAUCCCAAGAACAUUGGAUUGGUUCAUUGUUUCUUUUUUCACUGACGUUCUUAUUUACCUGGGGUUUAAAUGAAGUUUAAUAUGUUGCUUUGAACUUGGUAUAUGGGUUACUGUAUUAGAUGGGAGUAAAAUAUUAAUGCCAAUUAUCUUUUCUUGUUCAGGGCCUUUCUUGUGUAAAGGGAAAAGGAAGCGGAAUAUAAUGUUCUUGAUUGAGUCUGAUAUUUUGAUGUAACCAAGUUUCGUUGGGGUUGGAUGGGUGUAAUGUGUGUUGCAUAUGGUUUGCAACAGGUGAAUUUGAGUAGUCGAUAUUAUUG
This 860-nucleotide long non-coding RNA is filed under the name Phoenix dactylifera (date palm). Its description in RNAcentral is "long non-coding RNA (PDAC_LNC017539)". Lineage: Eukaryota; Viridiplantae; Streptophyta; Magnoliopsida; Arecales; Arecaceae. The record is from RNAcentral.